This 359-nucleotide ribosomal RNA is filed under the name uncultured bacterium. RNAcentral describes it as "partial 16S ribosomal RNA". It matches the Rfam family "Bacterial small subunit ribosomal RNA", at positions 338 to 694 of the family's 1533-position model. The record is from RNAcentral.
CCUACGGGUGGCUGCAGUGAGGAAUAUUGGUCAAUGGGCGGGAGCCUGAACCAGUCAAGUCGCGUGAGGGAAGACGGUCCUAUGGAUUGUAAACCUCUUUAGGCGGGGAGCAAUGCCGGGCACGCGUGCCCGGAGGGAGAGUACCCGCAGAAUAAGCAUCGGCUAACUCCGUGCCAGCAGCCGCGGUAAUACGGAGGAUGCGAGCGUUAUGCGGAUUUAUUGGGUUUAAAGGGUGCGUAGGCGGAUUUUUAAGUCAGCGGUAAAAUGUCCGGGCUGAACCCGGGCCGGCCGUUGAAACUGGGGAUCUGGAGGGGGCGAGAGGUAUGCGGAGUGGGUGGUGUAGCGGUGAAAGGCAGAGA